RNAcentral lists this ribosomal RNA (233 nucleotides) under uncultured bacterium. Its description in RNAcentral is "partial 16S ribosomal RNA". It matches the Rfam family "Archaeal small subunit ribosomal RNA", at positions 745 to 979 of the family's 1478-position model. The record is from RNAcentral.
UCCCAGCUGUAAACUAUGCAAAUUCAGUGAUGCAUUGACUUAUGGUCAAUGCAGUGCUGCAGGGAAGCCGUUAAGUUUGCCGCCUGGGAAGUACGUACGCAAGUAUGAAACUUAAAGGAAUUGGCGGGGGAGCACCACAAGGGGUGAAGCCUGCGGUUCAAUUGGACAACGCCAGAAAUCUUACCCGGAGAGACAGCAGAAUGAAGGUCAAGCUGAAGACUUUACCAGACAAG